RNAcentral lists this ribosomal RNA (182 nucleotides) under uncultured bacterium. Its description in RNAcentral is "partial 16S ribosomal RNA". It matches the Rfam family "Bacterial small subunit ribosomal RNA", at positions 1319 to 1500 of the family's 1533-position model. The record is from RNAcentral.
CGUGAAGUCGGAAUCGCUAGUAAUCGCGGAUCAGCAUGCCGCGGUGAAUACGUUCCCGGGCCUUGUACACACCGCCCGUCACACCAUGAGAGUCGGGAACACCCGAAGCCCGUAGCCUAACAGCAAUGAGGGCGCGGUCGAAGGUGGGUUCGAUAAUUGGGGUGAAGUCGUAACAAGGUACC